AGUGAACGCUGGCGGUAGGCCUAACACAUGCAAGUCGAACGGCAGCACAGUAAGAGCUUGCUCUUACGGGUGGCGAGUGGCGGACGGGUGAGGAAUACAUCGGAAUCUACUUUUUCGUGGGGGAUAACGUAGGGAAACUUACGCUAAUACCGCAUACGACCUACGGGUGAAAGCAGGGGAUCUUCGGACCUUGCGCGAUUGAAUGAGCCGAUGUCGGAUUAGCUAGUUGGCGGGGUAAAGGCCCACCAAGGCGACGAUCCGUAGCUGGUCUGAGAGGAUGAACAGCCAAAAUGAAACUGAGACACGGUCCAGACUCCUAAGGGAGGCAGCAGUGGGGAAUAUUGGACAAUGGGCGCAAGCCUGAUCCAGCCAUACCGCGUGGGUGAAGAAGGCCUUCGGGUUGUAAAGCCCUUUUGUUGGGAAAGAAAAGCAGCAGGUUAAUACCCCGCUGUUCUGACGGUACCCAAAGAAUAAGCACCGGCUAACUUCGUG
RNAcentral lists this ribosomal RNA (492 nucleotides) under uncultured bacterium. RNAcentral describes it as "partial 16S ribosomal RNA". It matches the Rfam family "Bacterial small subunit ribosomal RNA", at positions 29 to 507 of the family's 1533-position model. The record is from RNAcentral.